RNAcentral lists this ribosomal RNA (420 nucleotides) under uncultured bacterium. RNAcentral describes it as "bacterial SSU rRNA". It matches the Rfam family "Bacterial small subunit ribosomal RNA", at positions 358 to 770 of the family's 1533-position model. The record is from RNAcentral.
GGAAUAUUGGACAAUGGGCGCAAGCCUGAUCCAGCCAUGCCGCGUGUGUGAAGAAGGCUUUCGGGUUGUAAAGCACUUUAAGCUGUGAGGAAAACUGCGUUAUUAAUACUAGCGUAGCUUGACGUUAGCAGCAGAAUAAGCACCGGCUAACUCCGUGCCAGCAGCCGCGGUAAUACGGAGGGUGCGAGCGUUAAUCGGAAUUACUGGGCGUAAAGCGCGCGUAGGUGGCGUGUUAAGUUGGAUGUGAAAGCCCAGGGCUUAACCUUGGAAUUGCAUCCAAAACUGGCAGGCUAGAGUACAAGAGAGGGGGGUGGAAUUUCCGGUGUAGCGGUGAAAUGCGUAGAGAUCGGAAGGAACACCAGUGGCGAAGGCGACCCCCUGGCUUGAUACUGACGCUGAGGUGCGAAAGCGUGGGGAGCA